CCUGCUCCCAGGGGCAUUUCAGGUGUGGCUGCUGUGUCACAGGUACUUCUGUAGGUGGCAGAGAGGAGAGAGGCUAUGCCUAUGCUCAGUGUUCUGACCUGCGAACAUCUGUAUGAUUAGUAGCUUAACACU
Small nucleolar RNA from Grammomys surdaster, 132 nucleotides. RefSeq annotates it as small nucleolar RNA SNORA17. The record is from RefSeq and is a predicted model, not a curated record. Lineage: Eukaryota; Metazoa; Chordata; Mammalia; Rodentia; Muridae. The transcript has a single exon.